CAAUAGCAUAUAUUAAAGUUGUUGCAGUUAAAAAGCUCGUAGUUGAAAUUCGGCCAUUGGCCUUUCUGUGAUCUAUGAGUCCUAACGGUACUCAUAGUAUUUUCAGAAGUUUACUGUGAAAAAAUUAGAGUGCUCAAAGCAGGCGAUAGCUUGAAUAUUAAAGCAUGGAAUAAUAAAAUAAGGCUUACUCCUUUUAUUGGUAUAUUGGGGCGAGUAAUGAUUAACAGAAACAGUUGGGGGCAUUUGUAUUUGAUAGUCAGAGGUGAAAUUCUUAGAUUUAUCAAAGACAAACUAAUGCGAAAGCAUUUGUCAAGAAUGUUUUCAUUAA
RNAcentral lists this ribosomal RNA (328 nucleotides) under uncultured eukaryote. Its description in RNAcentral is "partial 18S ribosomal RNA". It matches the Rfam family "Eukaryotic small subunit ribosomal RNA", at positions 592 to 976 of the family's 1831-position model. The record is from RNAcentral.